GACUCUCAUUAAAGCAAAGAGAGCAUCAACACAAAAUUGUUAAAUGUGGUUAGAAUCAUGGAUGGACUUCAAUAGCAGUACAUUUUGUUACUGCGGCACAUUCUUAGGGGGCAGCUAUGAUAGCAGCACUGCUGACAGUAAGCCAGGCCAGGCACUCUGUCCGUUCCCCUCUAUUCUACCUAAAAUGUACGAAGGAUUGUUCUCUCAGCUGGGUUCCUGGCUGGAGGGGCUUACACUGGUUGCAGUAGCAGGUAUUUUGUCAUGAAUGCUGAUACUAGACAGUCUUUUGUGCUUUUUAUUUCAGGAGUAGGGAAAAUAUGCAGAGCUUUUUGACAGCAUCCAGUUAUUUGUCUUGCUUAUCCAUGCAUGCAUUUGUCUCUUUGUCUGAUAGUUAAUGCUUUAUUUAAUUCUUCUGUUAGGUAUUAAUUGCGCAGUCUAGAGCUUCUGGAAGCCACCGAGAUGUUGAAGAUGAAGAACUUACACGAAUUUUUGUUAUGAUACCGAAGUCCUAUACGGAGGAAGAUUUGCGAGAUAAAUUUAAGAUAUAUGGAGAUAUUGACUACUGCAGCAUUAUUAAGAACAAGAACACAGGAGAAAGUAAAGGUUUGGGCUAUGUGAAGUAUAUAAAACCAUCUCAAGCUGCCCUGGCAAUAGAAGAGUGUGAUCGAAGUAUACAGGUGUGGGCCACGAUUCCCGGAUGGUCCUUGGGAAACGGCCGCAGUUG
Alligator sinensis (Chinese alligator) is the source of this 724-nucleotide long non-coding RNA. RefSeq lists it as uncharacterized. The transcript is spliced from 3 exons. The record is from RefSeq and is a predicted model, not a curated record. Lineage: Eukaryota; Metazoa; Chordata; Crocodylia; Alligatoridae.